Molecule: ribosomal RNA, 637 nt
Filed under: Nebria ovipennis
Lineage: Eukaryota; Metazoa; Arthropoda; Insecta; Coleoptera; Carabidae
Description: partial large subunit ribosomal RNA
Rfam family: Bacterial large subunit ribosomal RNA
Source: RNAcentral
GUCCUUUAGAUAUUAAUUUAAGGUCUAACCUGCCCACUGAAUUAUUUUUAAAUGGCCGCAGUAAUUUGACUGUGCAAAGGUAGCAUAAUCAUUAGUUUUUUAAUUAAAAGCUUGUAUGAAAGGUUGGACGAAGUAAAAUCUGUCUCUAAUUAAAUUAAUUUAGAAUUUAACUUUUAAGUUAAAAGGCUUAAAUUUAAAUAAAAGACGAGAAGACCCUAUAGAUCUUUAUAGUUAAAUUAUUAGAUUUAAUUAUGAAUUUUUAAAAUUUUAUUAAUAGAACUAUUUUAUUGGGGUAAUAUAAAGAUUAAAAUAAUUCUUUUUUUUUAUAAACAUUAAUUUAUGAUUUUUAUGAUCCAAUUUUAUUGAUUAAAAGAUUAAGUUACCUUAGGGAUAACAGCGUAAUUUUUUUAGAGAGUUCUUAUCGAUAAAAAAGUUUGCGACCUCGAUGUUGGAUUAAAGAUUAUUUUAGGUGUAGAAGCUUGAAAAUUUUGGUCUGUUCGACCAUUAAAUCUUUACAUGAUCUGAGUUCAGACCGGUGUAAGCCAGGUCGGUUUCUAUCUUUAUUAAAUAAAAAUAUUUUAGUACGAAAGGACCAAUUAUUUAAUAUAUUAAUAUUUAUAAAUUUUGAUUAUUAUUA